CAAUGAGGGUGUCAGGGUGACAAUGACAGGGUCAGGGUGACAAUGAGGGUGUCAGGGUGUCACUGAGGGUGUCAAGGUGACAAUGGCAGGGUCAGGGUGACAGUGAGGGUGUCAGGGUGACAGUGAGGGUGUCAGGGUGACAGUGAGGGUGUCAGGGUGACAAUGAGGGUGUCAGG
This is a long non-coding RNA of Lepidothrix coronata (blue-crowned manakin), 176 nucleotides long. RefSeq lists it as uncharacterized. NCBI's taxonomy places the organism in Eukaryota, Metazoa, Chordata, Aves, Passeriformes, Pipridae. The transcript is spliced from 3 exons. The record is from RefSeq and is a predicted model, not a curated record.